This 639-nucleotide ribosomal RNA is filed under the name uncultured bacterium. Its description in RNAcentral is "bacterial SSU rRNA". It matches the Rfam family "Bacterial small subunit ribosomal RNA", at positions 232 to 885 of the family's 1533-position model. The record is from RNAcentral.
CGCGGCCUAUCAGCUUGUUGGUGGGGUAACGGCCCACCAAGGCAUCGACGGGUAGCUGGUCUGAGAGGACGACCAGCCACACUGGGACUGAGACACGGCCCAGACUCCUACGGGAGGCAGCAGUGGGGAAUAUUGCGCAAUGGGCGAAAGCCUGACGCAGCAACGCCGCGUGGGGGAUGACGGCCUUCGGGUUGUAAACCCCUUUCAGCAGGGACGAAAAUGACGGUACCUGCAGAAGAAGCCCCGGCCAACUACGUGCCAGCAGCCGCGGUAACACGUAGGGGGCAAGCGUUGUCCGGAUUUAUUGGGCGUAAAGAGCUCGUAGGCGGUUGCGUAAGUCGGAUGUGAAAACUCAGGGCUCAACCCGGAGACGCCAUCCGAUACUGCGCUGACUAGAGUCCGGUAGAGGAGCAUGGAAUUCCUGGUGUAGCGGUGAAAUGCGCAGAUAUCAGGAGGAACACCAGUGGCGAAGGCGGUGCUCUGGGCCGGUACUGACGCUGAGGAGCGAAAGCGUGGGUAGCGAACAGGAUUAGAUACCCUGGUAGUCCACGCCGUAAACGUUGGGCACUAGGUGUGGGGCCUCCUUAACGGGUUCCGUGCCGUAGCUAACGCAUUAAGUGCCCCGCCUGGGGAGUACGG